Long non-coding RNA from Xiphias gladius (swordfish), 330 nucleotides. RefSeq lists it as uncharacterized. The transcript has 3 exons. The record is from RefSeq and is a predicted model, not a curated record. NCBI's taxonomy places the organism in Eukaryota, Metazoa, Chordata, Actinopteri, Istiophoriformes, Xiphiidae.
ACUACCAGCGAGGCACCGUGGGUGUUAACGUCUGGUCCAGACUGAAACUUCCACAACAGCUGUUGGAUGGACCGUGAUGACAUGUGGUUCAGACAUUCGUGGUCCCCUCAGGCUGAACUGCGAUGACUCUGCUGAUCCUCUGGCUUUUCCUCUAGCGCCAUCAUCAGAGGUACACGAACCCGAGGGGCACGUCUGCGGGUCCCACCUGUAACACCUGAGCGUCAGCAGCUGCUGAGAAUGAAAUUGGAGACGGGGGCUCGGUUGCUGUGGUUGGUGGAAGAGGAGAGAUGAACCCCGUCCCCCGGAGACGGCGAUCAGACAGCGCAGGCC